RNAcentral lists this ribosomal RNA (774 nucleotides) under uncultured Neocallimastigales. RNAcentral's name for it is "partial large subunit ribosomal RNA". It matches the Rfam family "Eukaryotic large subunit ribosomal RNA", at positions 26 to 614 of the family's 3401-position model. The record is from RNAcentral. Lineage: Eukaryota; Fungi; Neocallimastigomycota; Neocallimastigomycetes; Neocallimastigales.
CGCAUCUGUGCAUGCAGCAUAUCAAUAAGCGGAGGAAAAGAAACUAACAAGGAUUCCCCUAGUAACGGCGAGUGAAGCGGGAAGAGCUCAAAUUUGAAAUCUUAAAGGGUUUCCCUUUACGAAUUGUAGUUUAAAGAAGUGUUUUCUGUUGAGGUUUUGGUAAAAGUUCUUUGGAAUAGGACAUCAUAGAGGGUGAGAAUCCCGUAUUUGACCUUUACUUUCAACUUUGUGAUACACUUUCAAAGAGUCGGAUUGUUUGGGAAUGCAGUCCAAAAUGGGUGGUAAAUUUCAUCUAAAGCUAAAUAUUGGCGAGAGACCGAUAGCGAACAAGUACCGUGAGGGAAAGAUGAAAAGAACUUUGAAAAGAGAGUUAAACAGUACGUGAAAUUGUCAAAAGGGAAGCGUCUGACACCAGUGUUGUUUUUCUGAAAAUCAAUUAAAGAACUGUUUAUGCUAAGUUGUUUAGACUUUAUCAGCUAACUGUCUAGUUUUGAGCUUUUCUUUAAUGCACUUUUCAGUUAACAAGUCAACAUCAAUUUCUUUUGCUGUAAAAAAGCUUGAGGAAGGUGGCUUGAGAUUCGUCUUAAGUGUUUAUAGCCUCUUGCCUAUGCAGUCGGAGAGAUUGAGGUCUGCAGCGUAGAUCCUUCGGGGCUAAAUGCAUUUGUGCUAAGUUAUAGCAUUUUAUAGACAACUUGUUGACUAUGAUUUGUCUUGUAGCUUACUCGCUUAUGUUAUUUUACCUACGCUUAGGAUGUUGAACGCGCACAGAGUCUC